GCAUAUCAAUAAGCGGAGGAAAAGAAACCAAUAGGGAUUGCCCCAGUAACGGCGAGUGAAGCGGCAACAGCUCAAAUUUGAAAUCUGGCCCCGGGCCCGAGUUGUAAUUUGCAGAGGAUGCUUUUGGUGACGCGCCUACCGAGUCCCCUGGAACGGGGCGCCACAGAGGGUGAGAGCCCCGUAUGGUUUGACGCCGAGCCUCUGUAAAGCUCCUUCGACGAGUCGAGUAGUUUGGGAAUGCUGCUCUAAAUGGGAGGUAAAUUUCUUCUAAAGCUAAAUACCGGCCAGAGACCGAUAGCGCACAAGUAGAGUGAUCGAAAGAUGAAAAGCACUUUGAAAAGAGGGUUAAAUAGCACGUGAAAUUGUUGAAAGGGAAGCGCUCGUGACCAGACUUGCGCCGGGCGGAUCAUCCAGCGUUCUCGCUGGUGCACUCCGCCCGGCUCAGGCCAGCAUCGGUUUUCGCCGGGGGAUAAAAGCACCGGGAAUGUGGCUCCCCUCGGGGAGUGUUAUAGCCCGGCGCGCAAUACCCCGGCGGGGACCGAGGACCGCGCUUCGGCAAGGAUGCUGGCGUAAUGGUCAUCAGCGACCCGUCUUGAAACACGGACCGAGGAGUCAAGCAUUAGUGCGAGUGUUUGGGUGUAAAACCCGCACGCGUAAUGAAAGUGAACGUAGGUGAGAGCUUCGGCGCAUCAUCGACCGAUCCUGAUGUUUUCGGAUGGAUUUGAGUAGGAGCAUUAACGCUUGGACCCGAAAGAUGGUGAACUAUACUUGAAUAGGGUGAAGCCAGAGGAAACUCUGGUGGAGGCUCGCAGCGGUUCUGACGUGCAAAUCGAUCGUCAA
Molecule: ribosomal RNA, 840 nt
Filed under: Magnaporthiopsis poae
Lineage: Eukaryota; Fungi; Ascomycota; Sordariomycetes; Magnaporthales; Magnaporthaceae
Description: LSU rRNA
Rfam family: Eukaryotic large subunit ribosomal RNA
Source: RNAcentral